This 439-nucleotide ribosomal RNA is filed under the name uncultured Chloroflexota bacterium. RNAcentral's name for it is "uncultured Chloroflexi bacterium partial 16S ribosomal RNA". It matches the Rfam family "Bacterial small subunit ribosomal RNA", at positions 338 to 794 of the family's 1533-position model. Lineage: Bacteria; Bacillati; Chloroflexota. The record is from RNAcentral.
CCUACGGGAGGCAGCAGUUAGGAAUUUUGCGCAAUGGGCGGAAGCCUGACGCAGCAACGCCGCGUUGGGGAAGAAGGUCUUCGGAUUGUAAACCCCUUUUAUCGGGGAAGAUGAUGACGGUACCCGAUGAAUAAGCCUCGGCUAACUACGUGCCAGCAGCCGCGGUAAUACGUAGGAGGCGAGCGUUGUCCGGAUUUACUGGGCGUAAAGGGCGUGUAGGCGGUGGCGCAAGUCGGAUGUGAAAGCCCCUGGCUCAACCAGGGAGGGUCAUUCGAUACUGCGUUGCUAGAGGGCAGCAGAGGAAAGUGAAAUUCCCGGUGUAGGGGUGAAAUGCGUAGAUAUCGGGAGGAACACCAGUGGCGAAGGCGGCUUUCUGGGCUGUACCUGACGCUGAGGCGCGAAAGCGUGGGGAGCGAACUGGAUUAGAUACCCCUGUAGU